GCCUGGGUGGCUCAGUCGGUUGAGCGUCCGACUUCGGCUCAGGUCAUGAUCUCACGGUUUGUGGGUUCGAGCCCCGCGUCGGGCU
This 85-nucleotide transfer RNA is filed under the name Crocuta crocuta (spotted hyena). It matches the Rfam family "tRNA". Rfam says of the family: Transfer RNA (tRNA) molecules are approximately 80 nucleotides in length. The record is from Rfam by way of RNAcentral. RNAcentral also lists the same sequence under 4 other names. Lineage: Eukaryota; Metazoa; Chordata; Mammalia; Carnivora; Hyaenidae.